Molecule: ribosomal RNA, 282 nt
Filed under: uncultured bacterium
Lineage: Bacteria
Description: partial 16S ribosomal RNA
Rfam family: Bacterial small subunit ribosomal RNA
Source: RNAcentral
GAUGAACGCUGGCGGCGUGCCUAACACAUGCAAGUCGAACGCUCGCAAGAGAGUGGCGCACGGGUGAGUAACACGUAGCUAAUCUGCCCUCAAGACAAGGAUAACUGUAGGAAACUACUGCUAAUACUUGAUAAGCUUACGGACUGUAGAGGUCUAUAAGAAAAGAUUUAUCGCUUGAGGAUGAGGCUGCGCGCCACACUGGAACUGAGACACGGUCCAGACUCCUACGGGAGGCAGCAGUAGGGAAUAUUGCGCAAUGGAGGAAACUCUGACGCAGCGACG